AUGGACAGCCACAAUGGGAUUGAGAACGGCCCAGACUCCUACGGGAGGCAGCAGUGAGGAAUUUUCCCCAAUGGGCGCAAGCCUGAGGGAGCAACGCCGCGUGCAGGACGAAGGUCUUCGGAUCGUAAACUGCUUUUCUCGGGGAAGAGAAGGGACGGUACCCGAGGAAGAAGCUCCGGCUAACUACGUGCCAGCAGCCGCGGUAAUACGUAGGGGGCGAGCGUUGUCCGGAGUUACUGGGCGUAAAGAGCCUGUAGGCGGUGUGCCGCGUUGGAAGUGACAGCGUCUGGCUUAACUGGACGAGGGUUUCCAAGACGGGCAGACUUGAGGGCCAAAGAGGGACACAGAAUUCCGGGUGGAGUGGUGAAAUGCGUAGAGAUCCGGAGGAAUACCGAAGGCGAAGGCAGUGUCCUGGGUGGAACCUGACGCUGAGAGGCGAAAGCUAGGGGAGCGAACGGGAUUAGAUACCCCGGUAGUCCUAGCCGUAAACGAUGACCACUAGGUGUGCGGGGUAUCGACCCCCUGCGUGCCGGAGCGAACGCACUAAGUGGUCCGCCUGGGGAGUACGAUCGCAAGAUUAAAACUCAAAGGAAUUGACG
This 599-nucleotide ribosomal RNA is filed under the name uncultured bacterium. Its description in RNAcentral is "SSU rRNA". It matches the Rfam family "Bacterial small subunit ribosomal RNA", at positions 300 to 915 of the family's 1533-position model. The record is from RNAcentral.